This 1345-nucleotide ribosomal RNA is filed under the name uncultured bacterium. RNAcentral describes it as "16S ribosomal RNA". It matches the Rfam family "Bacterial small subunit ribosomal RNA". The record is from RNAcentral.
UUAGAGUUUCAUCCUGGCUCAGGAUGAACGCUGGCGGCGUGCUUAACACAUGCAAGUCGAACGAACCUUCGGGUUAGUGGCGUACGGGUGAGUAACGCGUGAGAAUCUGCCCUCAGGAGGGGGAUAACGGCUGGAAACGGCCGCUAAUACCCCAUAUGCCGAGAGGUGAAAUGAAUUUCGCUUGAGGAUGAGCUCGCGUCUGAUUAGCUAGUUGGUGGGGUAAAGGCCUACCAAGGCGACGAUCAGUAGCUGGUCUGAGAGGAUGAUCAGCCACACUGGGACUGAGACACGGCCCAGGCUCCUACGGGAGGCAGCAGUGGGGAAUUUUCCGCAAUGGGCGAAAGCCUGACGGAGCAACGCCGCGUGAGGGAUAAAGGCCUCUGGGUCGUAAACCUCUUUUCUCAAGGAAGAAGAUCUGACGGUACUUGAGGAAUAAGCCACGGCUAAUUCCGUGCCAGCAGCCGCGGUAAUACGGGAGUGGCAAGCGUUAUCCGGAAUUAUUGGGCGUAAAGCGUCCGCAGGCGGCCCUGUAAGUCUGUCGUUAAAGCGUGGAGCUUAACUCCAUUUCAGCGAUGGAAACUACAAGGCUUGAGUGUGGUAGGGGCAGAGGGAAUUCCCGGUGUAGCGGUGAAAUGCGUAGAUAUCGGGAAGAACACCAGUGGCGAAGGCGCUCUGCUGGGCCAUAACUGACGCUCAUGGACGAAAGCCAGGGGAGCGAAAGGGAUUAGAUACCCCUGUAGUCCUGGCCGUAAACGAUGAACACUAGGUGUCGGGGGAAUCGACCCCCUCGGUGUCGUAGCCAACGCGUUAAGUGUUCCGCCUGGGGAGUACGCACGCAAGUGUGAAACUCAAAGGAAUUGACGGGGGCCCGCACAAGCGGUGGAGUAUGUGGUUUAAUUCGAUGCAACGCGAAGAACCUUACCAGGGUUUGACAUCCUGCGAAUCCCUUGGAAACGAGGGAGUGCCUUCGGGAGCGCAGUGACAGGUGGUGCAUGGCUGUCGUCAGCUCGUGUCGUGAGAUGUUGGGUUAAGUCCCGCAACGAGCGCAACCCACGUCGUUAGUUGCCAGCAUUCAGUUGGGCACUCUAGCGAGACCGCCGGUGAUAAACCGGAGGAAGGUGUGGAUGACGUCAAGUCAUCAUGCCCCUUACAUCCUGGGCUACACACGUACUACAAUGCUACGGACAAAGGGCAGCAAACUCGCGAGAGCUAGCAAAUCCCAUAAACCGCGGCUCAGUUCAGAUCGUAGGCUGCAACUCGCCUACGUGAAGGAGGAAUCGCUAGUAAUCGCAGGUCAGCAUACUGCGGUGAAUAAAAAGCCGGGCCUUGCACUCACCGCCCGUCA